UCACACCUAAGGAAGCCAAUAGAAGCCUUGGUAUGCUUACUUUUGUCCUCUGCAGAAUGAAAGUCACUGUCGUAUGGUCGCUUGUUACGGUCGAACCUUCUGAGUGAGCCAAUUCUUAGUUGCUGGAAGUAAUGAUGUCAUGACUAUGCUGUGUAUAGUGAAAGUUUCCAACUAUUUAUUCAACUUGGUGUCCUGUAGUAACGCAAGUAAUGCUGACAUUGGCUUUUGUUUGCUGUAUCGCUGUCUGUAUCGGGAUUGUAUUGGACUUGAUCUCUUUGAUAACCCUACUAUGUUGUGCACAUAUAGAUAUUAGAUGUUUAACUGGGUGGCAUUGUUCAUUGAAUCAUUUCACUGUUCACAUUAUUGGACUCAGUGGACUCAGCUAUAUCUGCAUUGGUUCCAUCCAAUGAAAG
RNAcentral lists this long non-coding RNA (413 nucleotides) under Setaria italica (foxtail millet). RNAcentral describes it as "long non-coding RNA (SITA_LNC001460)". Lineage: Eukaryota; Viridiplantae; Streptophyta; Magnoliopsida; Poales; Poaceae. The record is from RNAcentral.